Molecule: transfer RNA, 76 nt
Filed under: Candidatus Onthocola stercoravium
Lineage: Bacteria; Bacillati; Bacillota; Bacilli
Description: tRNA-Arg
Rfam family: tRNA
About the family: Transfer RNA (tRNA) molecules are approximately 80 nucleotides in length.
Source: RNAcentral
GUCCUCGUAGUUUAAUGGAUAAAACAAGCCCCUCCUAAGGGUUAGAGUGGAGGUUCGAUUCCUCUCGAGGACGCCA